RNAcentral lists this ribosomal RNA (269 nucleotides) under uncultured bacterium. RNAcentral describes it as "partial 16S ribosomal RNA". The record is from RNAcentral.
CUGCUGCCUUCCGUAGGAGUCUGGGCCGUGUCUCAGUACCAGUGUGGGGGACCUUCCUCUCAGAACCCCUACGCAUCGUCGCCUCGGUGGGCCGUUACCCUGCCGACUAGCUAAUGCGCCGCAUGCCCAUCCCCCGCCGGAAUCGCUUCCUUUGGCCGCAGACCCAUGCAGGUCCGCGGCGUUACGCGGUAUUAGUCGGGAUUUCUCCCGGUUAUCCCCCUGCGGGGGCAGGUCGCAUACGUGUUACUCACCCGUGCGCCGGUCGCCGG